Molecule: ribosomal RNA, 359 nt
Filed under: uncultured bacterium
Lineage: Bacteria
Description: partial 16S ribosomal RNA
Rfam family: Bacterial small subunit ribosomal RNA
Source: RNAcentral
UGGGGAAUAUUGGACAAUGGGCGAAAGCCUGAUCCAGCCAUGCCGCGUGUGUGAAGAAGGUCUUCGGAUUGUAACGCACUUUAAGUUGGGAGGAAGGGCAUUAACCUAAUACGUUAGUGUUUUGACGUUACCGACAGAAUAAGCACCGGCUAACUCUGUGCCAGCAGCCGCGGUAAUACAGAGGGUGCAAGCGUUAAUCGGAAUUACUGGGCGUAAAGCGCGCGUAGGUGGUUUGUUAAGUUGGAUGUGAAAUCCCCGGGCUCAACCUGGGAACUGCAUUCAAAACUGACUGACUAGAGUAUGGUAGAGGGUGGUGGAAUUUCCUGUGUAGCGGUGAAAUGCGUAGAUAUAGUAAGGAA